Molecule: small nuclear RNA, 273 nt
Filed under: Jaculus jaculus (lesser Egyptian jerboa)
Lineage: Eukaryota; Metazoa; Chordata; Mammalia; Rodentia; Dipodidae
Description: 7SK RNA (ENSJJAG00000003940.1)
Rfam family: 7SK RNA
About the family: 7SK was discovered as an abundant small nuclear RNA in the mid-70s but a possible function has only recently been suggested. Two independent studies have found that 7SK RNA binds the CDK9/cyclin T complex (known as elongation factor P-TEFb). P-TEFb activates transcription by phosphorylating the C-terminal domain of RNA polymerase II.
Source: RNAcentral
GGAUGUGAGGAGGACCUGGCUAUGACAUCCAUCACUCCAUGGACUACCGAGGUUGAUUUGGUUAAUCUGGCUGGCUAUGCAAGAGUCCUUUCCCGCCUUAACUGUUCCUCAGGAUUUGUCCCUCAGGAAGCUGUGCGUUUGGAGAAGACAACCUUCUCCAAUAGAGGAAGACCAAUCAAGGGUACACAAGUAGCUAAUCUCCACCAAAAGAAUCUCCAAACAAGCUCCCAAAUUGCUACCUGGAGGCCCAGUAUUCAAAACCCAUAAGGCUCU